RNAcentral lists this long non-coding RNA (625 nucleotides) under Homo sapiens (human). Its description in RNAcentral is "long non-coding RNA NONHSAT249548". Lineage: Eukaryota; Metazoa; Chordata; Mammalia; Primates; Hominidae. The record is from RNAcentral.
GCCAGAUUAUCAUUUGUUGUAGAAACCAAUGCUGGCAUUGUAGGAUGUUUAUUAUUUUGAUUUUGAUUUAGGAUUAACUUCAUCCCUGGACUCUACCUGCUAGAUGCCAGUAGCACCCUCUUCCACAAUUGUGACAACUAAAAAUGUCUAUGCCUCUGAGAAAGGCAAAAUCCCUCCCUACCCACAUUGAAGACCACUAAGAAGAAGCUAGCUGUCUUCCCUACCUUGGUCUGAUUUGAGAAUUAGAUGGCACAGACUGGCAAACUCAAAACAGAAACUCACAAAACUUUGAUAUCCACUGGAUCAAGUACUAUGCCAAGUCAAGGGGAUGCAGAAGAAAAAAAUAGCCAUACAUACACGAAGAACUACAGUCACAUUAACUUCAAGCAGAUGAAGCCUGUAACUUGCUGGUUCUAUACCCUGAAAAAAUGGACCUGUAAAUGAAUCUGUUUGGGUUAACAAGGCUGCCACCAUAUAGCUGGUUUUCAUUCUCUGCCCCAUCAAGCUCCUCAACUUUCUGUAUUAUCUGAACCACAAAGCACCAUACACCUCCCUUUGGACUUUUGUACAAAAUUCCCUUACUGUAAGACAUGCCCUUUGUCUAAUUUCUGAUGCUGAAUCUUGC